This 994-nucleotide ribosomal RNA is filed under the name uncultured bacterium. RNAcentral's name for it is "bacterial SSU rRNA". It matches the Rfam family "Bacterial small subunit ribosomal RNA", at positions 356 to 1376 of the family's 1533-position model. The record is from RNAcentral.
GGGGAAUAUUGCACAAUGGGGGAAACCCUGAUGCAGCGACGCCGCGUGGAGGAAGAAGGUCUUCGGAUUGUAAACUCCUGUUGUUGAGGAAGAUAAUGACGGUACUCAACAAGGAAGUGACGGCUAACUACGUGCCAGCAGCCGCGGUAAAACGUAGGUCACAAGCGUUGUCCGGAAUUACUGGGUGUAAAGGGAGCGCAGGCGGGCGAUCAAGUUGGAAGUGAAAUCCAUGGGCUCAACCCAUGAACUGCUUUCAAAACUGGUCGUCUUGAGUAGUGCAGAGGUAGGCGGAAUUCCCGGUGUAGCGGUGGAAUGCGUAGAUAUCGGGAGGAACACCAGUGGCGAAGGCGGCCUACUGGGCACCAACUGACGCUGAGGCUCGAAAGUGUGGGUAGCAAACAGGAUUAGAUACCCUGGUAGUCCACACCGUAAACGAUGAUUACUAGGUGUUGGGAGAUUGACCCUCUCAGUGCCGCAGUUAACACAAUAAGUAAUCCACCUGGGGAGUACGACCGCAAGGUUGAAACUCAAAGGAAUUGACGGGGGCCCGCACAAGCAGUGGAGUAUGUGGUUUAAUUCGACGCAACGCGAAGAACCUUACCAAGUCUUGACAUCCUCUGACGAACGUAGAAAUACGUUUUCUCUUCGGAGCAGAGAGACAGGUGGUGCAUGGUUGUCGUCAGCUCGUGUCGUGAGAUGUUGGGUUAAGUCCCGCAACGAGCGCAACCCCUAUUGUUAGUUGCUACGCAAGAGCACUCUAGCGAGACUGCCGUUGACAAAACGGAGGAAGGUGGGGACGACGUCAAAUCAUCAUGCCCCUUAUGACCUGGGCUACACACGUAAUACAAUGGCGGUCAACAAAGGGAUGCAAAGCCGCGAGGCAGAGCGAACCCCAAAAAGCCGUCCCAGUUCGGAUCGCAGGCUGCAACCCGCCUGCGUGAAGUCGGAAUCGCUAGUAAUCGUGGGUCAGCAUACCACGGUGAAUACGUUCCCG